RNAcentral lists this long non-coding RNA (1303 nucleotides) under Dasypus novemcinctus (nine-banded armadillo). RNAcentral's name for it is "lncRNA (ENSDNOG00000051730.1)". The record is from RNAcentral. Lineage: Eukaryota; Metazoa; Chordata; Mammalia; Cingulata; Dasypodidae.
CCGCAACAGCAUCAUCUGGGGUUGCCAAAGGUCAGAAAAUGACUAUUGAUUAACCUAUUAGGAUACCUGUAGUUGCCGAGAGAAAUAAAAAACGACGUAAAAUAACCAACUAUUUUAAAAAAAGAAGCCUUAAAGAAGCUUCUCGGAGUAGUUAAAUGACUUUAGCAGAUGAAAAAAAGUCGGAAAUGAGGCGCCCGAGAAGGAGCCGAGAUUGGCAGCGGCCGGGGUAAGUCGGCUGGGGCGGGGAAGAGGCCUCGGGCCUUCAGGUUGGACGCUGCACCCGGGCCCUGACAGCAAAGGACCGGUCCUGGAGCGGGCAGUGACUUCCUGGGCGGCCGGGCUCAGCCUCUAGGGAGCCGGGUGGCUUCGGGCCUGUCGGGGGGCUGGCUUUGGGCGACUCUUGAUCUGGGUUCUCUCUUCUCGAGGUGGACACAAACCCUCCAAGAUUUAACUUCCGCGGACGAAGCGAGGAUGAGACCAAUACACACACAAAAUUCCUUGGCCGCCUCGUUGCGGGCGGCGAACGCCUGCCUGGCGGGAAUGGUUCCUGAGCCCAAGUCCAGUCCACUGAGGCCUGGAGAGGGAAGGCUGGCAUCACCAGAGCAUGGUGCACCAGGGGAGGAGGUCGAGAGGAACUAAAGAGUGAAAUAUUUUCAGAAGUCACCCAGAAAACUCAUUUAAUUUUAGGUGGACGGUGGUGCUUCUGGAGCUCUCUCCCUCUCCUACAACUUUCCCCCGGCCUAGACACAUACUCCCUCCAGAGGAAAAUCCGUAAACUUGCUUCAUUACAUGCGAUGCGACACACAGAUUGGCUUUAACCAUCAUGAGACCAUUGCCCCGGGUAUGAACACUAGUUCACUCGAUCCCGACUCCGCAGGCGUUCCUGGUUGGGCCAGGGGGUCUCCCUUCCGAGACUCCCGUGAACCUCCGCGAUUUUUCUGUAUCUAAAUGAACCCCCGCCCCCGCUUGCACCUGACCCUAAAACGCAUCUCUGAGUUGAUUUCCGCAGCUGUAUGGUUUUUGUGGCCGGCCGGCUCCGAGCCGUUUACAAUGCUGUCUGUGCAACUCCAGAAGAACCAGCGUGAGCGGAGAUGGCUCCUGGAACUUCUCGGCGCCGCUGGCUCAACCUCGCCCUCCCUCCGCCGAGGUCCGGCUCAUCUGUCCAUUCCCCGGUGUCUCCUUGGAAUCUCCCUAGGGGAAGGGGGAAAGCAGCGGGUGGUGGUGAACAACUCCCAGCCGCCGGUUCCAUUUGUUGCGCUUUUAUCCUUCGACACAAUAAAAGUCAAAUUAAUUGAUUCAUACC